This 1056-nucleotide long non-coding RNA is filed under the name Marmota monax (woodchuck). The record is from RNAcentral. Lineage: Eukaryota; Metazoa; Chordata; Mammalia; Rodentia; Sciuridae.
GUGUUAUUUCAGUGUGAUUUAAAUUUGCAUUUCCUUAAGGACUAACAUUGAGUACAUUUUCAUGUCUUUUAGUUAUCAUUUUGAUGAAGUCUUAUUUAUUAAUUUUUCUUUAUGCUUUGUGUUUGUAAGAACCUGUGGUCACAAAUUUUUGCCUACCUCAAGAAUUUCUAUUUUUUUGUACUUCUAGAAAUCUUAUAUGAUUAACUCUCAAGUUUAGGCUUUAAAAUUUAUUUUGGGAUAAUUUUUGUGUUCCGUGUGAAGUAAGGCUGAGGUUCUUUUUUUUUCUCUAUGUAUUCAACUGUUGCAGUACUAUCUGAUGGGGAAAAAAUCCUUUCCCCACUGAUUUACUUUAGCAGCUUUGUCAAAAAUCAAAUGACUACAUGUGUGUUGGUAUGCUUCUGGAUUCUAUCUGUUUUAUUGCUACAUAUGCUUAUCUUUUUGUUAACAUUUUGAUCAAAAUGACUUUAGUAAACUCUGAAAACAAGUAACAUGUGUGUUCCAAACUUGUUCUUUUUCUAGGUUAAUUUCUGCCCGAAGUAUUGAUGAAGUUACCACUAGGAUUCUAUUUAAUCUGCAAAUCAACUUCAGGAUAAUCAACAACUUUAAAACAUUGAGUUCUGGGCUGGGGAUGUGGCUCAAGCGGUAGCGCGCUCACCUGGCAUGCGUGCGGCCCGGGUUCGAUCCUCAGCACCACAUACAAACAAAGAUGUUGUGUUCGCCGAGAACUAAAAAAAAAAUAAAUAUUAAAAUUCUCUCUCUCUCUCUCUCUCUUUAAAAAAAAAACAACAUUGAGUUCUGUUAUCCAUGAACAUUGUAUGUCUUCCAUUUAGUUAGAUCUUAUAUUCUUUUCACCAUGUUUCAUAGUUUUCAGGGUAGAGAUCUCUACAGUUUAUUAAGUUGAUUCCAAGUUUUUUUUUUUAGCUUUAUGCCAUUGCAAGUAGCAUUUUUAUUUUUAUAUUCUUAACUAUUCAUUUAUUUAUUAUAGUACUGGGAAUCAAACCCAGGGGCCCACGCAUGCCAGGCAAGUACUCUACCACUGAGCUACAUCCCCCUGCU